GGGUAACGGCCCACCAAGGCGACGAUCAGUAGCCGACCUGAGAGGGUGACCGGCCACAUUGGGACUGAGACACGGCCCAAACUCCUACGGGAGGCAGCAGUGGGGAAUAUUGCACAAUGGGGGAAACCCUGAUGCAGCAACGCCGCGUGAAGGAUGAAGUAUUUCGGUAUGUAAAGCUCUAUCAGCAGGGAAGAAACUGACGGUACCUGACUAAGAAGCACCGGCUAAAUAC
Molecule: ribosomal RNA, 232 nt
Filed under: uncultured bacterium
Lineage: Bacteria
Description: partial 16S ribosomal RNA
Rfam family: Bacterial small subunit ribosomal RNA
Source: RNAcentral